Molecule: ribosomal RNA, 1469 nt
Filed under: Lacticaseibacillus paracasei
Lineage: Bacteria; Bacillati; Bacillota; Bacilli; Lactobacillales; Lactobacillaceae
Description: bacterial SSU rRNA
Rfam family: Bacterial small subunit ribosomal RNA
Source: RNAcentral
CGGGGGGGGCCCUAUACAUGCAAGUCGAACGAGUUCUCGUUGAUGAUCGGUGCUUGCACCGAGAUUCAACAUGGAACGAGUGGCGGACGGGUGAGUAACACGUGGGUAACCUGCCCUUAAGUGGGGGAUAACAUUUGGAAACAGAUGCUAAUACCGCAUAGAUCCAAGAACCGCAUGGUUCUUGGCUGAAAGAUGGCGUAAGCUAUCGCUUUUGGAUGGACCCGCGGCGUAUUAGCUAGUUGGUGAGGUAAUGGCUCACCAAGGCGAUGAUACGUAGCCGAACUGAGAGGUUGAUCGGCCACAUUGGGACUGAGACACGGCCCAAACUCCUACGGGAGGCAGCAGUAGGGAAUCUUCCACAAUGGACGCAAGUCUGAUGGAGCAACGCCGCGUGAGUGAAGAAGGCUUUCGGGUCGUAAAACUCUGUUGUUGGAGAAGAAUGGUCGGCAGAGUAACUGUUGUCGGCGUGACGGUAUCCAACCAGAAAGCCACGGCUAACUACGUGCCAGCAGCCGCGGUAAUACGUAGGUGGCAAGCGUUAUCCGGAUUUAUUGGGCGUAAAGCGAGCGCAGGCGGUUUUUUAAGUCUGAUGUGAAAGCCCUCGGCUUAACCGAGGAAGCGCAUCGGAAACUGGGAAACUUGAGUGCAGAAGAGGACAGUGGAACUCCAUGUGUAGCGGUGAAAUGCGUAGAUAUAUGGAAGAACACCAGUGGCGAAGGCGGCUGUCUGGUCUGUAACUGACGCUGAGGCUCGAAAGCAUGGGUAGCGAACAGGAUUAGAUACCCUGGUAGUCCAUGCCGUAAACGAUGAAUGCUAGGUGUUGGAGGGUUUCCGCCCUUCAGUGCCGCAGCUAACGCAUUAAGCAUUCCGCCUGGGGAGUACGACCGCAAGGUUGAAACUCAAAGGAAUUGACGGGGGCCCGCACAAGCGGUGGAGCAUGUGGUUUAAUUCGAAGCAACGCGAAGAACCUUACCAGGUCUUGACAUCUUUUGAUCACCUGAGAGAUCAGGUUUCCCCUUCGGGGGCAAAAUGACAGGUGGUGCAUGGUUGUCGUCAGCUCGUGUCGUGAGAUGUUGGGUUAAGUCCCGCAACGAGCGCAACCCUUAUGACUAGUUGCCAGCAUUUAGUUGGGCACUCUAGUAAGACUGCCGGUGACAAACCGGAGGAAGGUGGGGAUGACGUCAAAUCAUCAUGCCCCUUAUGACCUGGGCUACACACGUGCUACAAUGGAUGGUACAACGAGUUGCGAGACCGCGAGGUCAAGCUAAUCUCUUAAAGCCAUUCUCAGUUCGGACUGUAGGCUGCAACUCGCCUACACGAAGUCGGAAUCGCUAGUAAUCGCGGAUCAGCACGCCGCGGUGAAUACGUUCCCGGGCCUUGUACACACCGCCCGUCACACCAUGAGAGUUUGUAACACCCGAAGCCGGUGGCGUAACCCUUUUAGGGAGCGAGCCGUCUAAGGGGAUCCA